Molecule: ribosomal RNA, 429 nt
Filed under: Actinomycetes bacterium
Lineage: Bacteria; Bacillati; Actinomycetota; Actinomycetes
Description: Actinobacteria bacterium partial 16S ribosomal RNA
Rfam family: Bacterial small subunit ribosomal RNA
Source: RNAcentral
UAGGGAAUCUUCCGCAAUGGGCGAAAGCCUGACGGAGCAACGCCGCGUGAGUGAUGAAGGUCUUCGGAUCGUAAAACUCUGUUAUUAGGGAAGAACAAAUGUGUAAGUAACUAUGCACGUCUUGACGGUACCUAAUCAGAAAGCCACGGCUAACUACGUGCCAGCAGCCGCGGUAAUCCGUAGGUGGCAAGCGUUAUCCGGAAUUAUUGGGCGUAAAGCGCGCGUAGGCGGUUUUUUAAGUCUGAUGUGAAAGCCCACGGCUCAACCGUGGAGGGUCAUUGGAUACUGGAAAACUUGAGUGGAGAAGAGGAAAGUGGAAUUCCAUGUGUGGCGGUGAAAUGCGCAGAGAUAUGGAGGAACACCAGUGGCGAAGGCGACUUUCUGGUCUGUAACAAACGCUGAUGUGCGAAAGCGUGGGGAUCAAACAGG